Molecule: long non-coding RNA, 349 nt
Filed under: Homo sapiens (human)
Lineage: Eukaryota; Metazoa; Chordata; Mammalia; Primates; Hominidae
Description: HSALNT0322773
Source: RNAcentral
GUCUCUUUGGCACCAGGCACCCGCCGGGCCGUGGGGGGCUCGUAGCCGAACGCCGACCUCCGCUCGUAUUGGGCUGGGAGUUCAGAGCCGCGCGCAGAACCCGGGUUGGCCGCAACGUCUGUGUUCUCAGCGGUGGCCGGGAACCUGGGAUCAGGGUCACCUGAGCUGACGGGGUGGGGGCGGGCCGAGUGGGGUUGGAAGCCUGGAACUUAGUGGUAAGCAGGAGGCGUAGGAGGUGGCAGCCAGGUAAGAGGCACUCUUACCUACCCAACGCUGGCUUGGGCCGCAACUUUAUUUGGGAGUUUCUUUUUCCGGUGAGACAGAGACCCGGCAGAAGAAGCGGGAGGGG